GACGAACCGUGCGAACGUUAUUCGGAAUCACUGGGCUUAAAGCGCGUGUAGGUGGGGCGGCACGUCGGUCGCUGAAAUCCCCCGGCUUGACCGGGGAACGGGCGCCGAUACGACCGCCCUUGAGGGGCGUAGGGGGGGCUGGAACUUCCGGUGGAGCGGUGAAAUGCGUUGAGAUCGGAAGGAACGCCCGUGGCGAAAGCGAGCCCCUGGACGUCAUCUGAUACUGAGACGCGAAAGCCAGGGGAGCGAACGGG
RNAcentral lists this ribosomal RNA (254 nucleotides) under uncultured bacterium. Its description in RNAcentral is "partial 16S ribosomal RNA". It matches the Rfam family "Bacterial small subunit ribosomal RNA", at positions 524 to 776 of the family's 1533-position model. The record is from RNAcentral.